CUGGAAUGAUGAUGCUUAGCCAAAUCAGACACGGAUGUGCUCCACAAACGGCAUUGUCUUCAAUGCUUGUGUUAUUUGGUCUCUUUUGUGACCUAGACCAAUCAUUAGAUGCCCUAGUGUUGAAGUGCAUCCUCUGGUGAUAAUUUAGAGAUAGGUUACUGCCUGACCAGA
This is a small nucleolar RNA of Mercurialis annua (annual mercury), 171 nucleotides long. RefSeq annotates it as small nucleolar RNA snoR127. The transcript has a single exon. The record is from RefSeq and is a predicted model, not a curated record. NCBI's taxonomy places the organism in Eukaryota, Viridiplantae, Streptophyta, Magnoliopsida, Malpighiales, Euphorbiaceae.